This is a transfer RNA of 83 nucleotides. It matches the Rfam family "tRNA". Rfam says of the family: Transfer RNA (tRNA) molecules are approximately 80 nucleotides in length. Their secondary structure includes four short double-helical elements and three loops (D, anti-codon, and T loops). The record is from Rfam.
GGUUCAAUGGCGUAGUGGUUAUCGCAUCUGUCUUACACUGAGAUUUGCACAGAAGGUCUCCGGUUCGAUCCCGGGUUGAGCCA